GAUGAACGCUAGCUACAGGCUUAACACAUGCAAGUCGCGGGGCAGCAUGGAUGUCCUUUCGGGGACAUCUGAUGGCGACCGGCGUACGGGUGAGUAACGCGUAUCCAACCUGCCCUUUACAACGGGACAGCCCGUCGAAAGGCGGAUUAAUACCGUAUGUUGUCAUGUUGAUGCAUAUUUUCAUGACCAAAGGCUUCGGCCGGUAAAGGAUGGGGAUGCGUCUGAUUAGCUUGCCGGCGGGGUAACGGCCCACCGGGGCGACGAUCAGUAGGGGUUCUGAGAGGAAGGUCCCCCACAUUGGUACUGAGACACGGACCAG
This 319-nucleotide ribosomal RNA is filed under the name uncultured bacterium. Its description in RNAcentral is "bacterial SSU rRNA". It matches the Rfam family "Bacterial small subunit ribosomal RNA", at positions 28 to 334 of the family's 1533-position model. The record is from RNAcentral.